RNAcentral lists this ribosomal RNA (482 nucleotides) under uncultured bacterium. RNAcentral describes it as "partial 16S ribosomal RNA". It matches the Rfam family "Bacterial small subunit ribosomal RNA", at positions 28 to 523 of the family's 1533-position model. The record is from RNAcentral.
GACGAACGCUGGCGGCGUGCUUAACACAUGCAAGUCGAACGAUGAAGAAGAGCUUGCUCUUCGGAUUAGUGGCGAACGGGUGAGUAACACGUGACUAACCUGCCCCUUUCUCUGGGAUAACGCUCCGAAAGGAGUGCUAAUACCGGAUACUCACAUCGAGGCACAUGCCUUGAUGUGGAAAGUUUUUCGGAAAGGGAUGGAGUCGCGGCCUAUCAGCUUGUUGGUGAGGUAACGGCUCACCAAGGCGACGACGGGUAGCCGGCCUGAGAGGGCAACCGGCCACACUGGGACUGAGACACGGCCCAGACUCCUACGGGAGGCAGCAGUGGGGAAUAUUGCACAAUGGGCGAAAGCCUGAUGCAGCGACGCCGCGUGAGGGAUGAAGGUCUUCGGAUUGUAAACCUCCUUCAGUAGGGACGAAGCGAAAGUGACGGUACCUAAAGAAGAAGCACCGGCUAACUACGUGCCAGCCGCCGCUGUAA